Molecule: unclassified non-coding RNA, 1630 nt
Filed under: Hevea brasiliensis (rubber tree)
Lineage: Eukaryota; Viridiplantae; Streptophyta; Magnoliopsida; Malpighiales; Euphorbiaceae
Source: RNAcentral
AAAAGAAGCAAAGCAUGAAAUGCAGUUCAAACACAAACAAAAGUGGUUCGUUGUUAAGGGAAAAGGAUUUAAACUUUAGAGGUAUUUGUUUGUCUGAAAAUUGUAGAGUGAAUGGAUAUGUACCUUCAUCAUCCUUAUUACUGUUGUGUGUUGAUCUGCGUGAAAAACUUCAAUAAUUUCUCACAGAAAUGUCAAACAUUAAAACAAAUCAAAACCCUGUUAACGUUUGUGACAACCAAACAUCCAACAUUUACGAAAUCCAAAGCUUACACAACAGAAUCACAUGCUUCAAUGUCACACAUACAUGACAACCCCAUUAACAUUGUCCACAUAAAUUAAAUCAUUACUAACAAUACUUGGAUACAUUAAUUUCUAUCAGAUUAGGUCAUCACUCAAAGCUCAUAUGGUAGGACCUGCAAAACCAGGGAAAAAGAAAUAUGAUCAUGUUGAUGAUUGCUAAUUAAUAACAAAAAAAUUAGAUGAUUAUAUAAUUAUAUAAUAUAUUCCCAUUUCCCAUUUGCCUAUGCCCUACCUAUAUCCAUUGGCAGACAUGGCCAAACCAGUAAGUAGAAUAACCUGGGCCAGAGUUGGACUGGAAUAGUGGACGAGAAUCGUUCCCUCGUCUGCCGUUUCGUAACAAGAUAAUUGGCAUGAUUUCUAAUUUGACACCUUCCUUAUUGGAUUCAUCUUACGAGUUUUUCCUUGGAGGGUCCCUUACCCUAUAGAUGAUUAGCGUAAUAGUGUUCAUAUCCAUCGAAAAUGACAGGGAGGCCAGCUUCAGGUCCUCUCCCGUCCACCUACCAUGACCUCUCGAUGUAUAUGCUAUUAUCUAGCUGGACUAGCUAUAACUACAUCAGGUUGUGUGUACAUUUAAUAUAACAUCUCCGUGCUUUUUCUUUGUUAACCUUAAUUAUGGUAGCUUAAUUGUCUUUUUCUUUUUAAUGUAAAAAAUUGGCUACAUUGGGCAAAUUAACUCAUGUCCAUCUGGGCCAUCCUGAAAUUGGGAUUAGGUCCCAUGUGCAGCAGGAUUGGAUUUUAUGGUAGUCAUGCUAAUGAAUUUUGUUGACACACCCAAUGAUUGGAUGUUUAAACAUAUUGUAAUUAUGCAUUGUACUCUAAAAUCAUAUUAUACAAUUCAGACAAAUUAUUAUUUAAGUAAUGUCUUGAACAAUGUAAUUUUUGACACUGUACAUUCUUUAAUCAUUUUCUUUUCUUAAUUAUUAUCUAUAGAGUUGAUAAUGUUGUCUAUUUUGUAUUAAGAAAAUCCUAAUUUAAUUGUUAAUUGUGUACCAAUAAGAAAAAAAAAUAACUCCAAACGUUCUUAAAAAUUCUAAAAUUUUAGUGCAUGCGUUAAUUUUGGUCUCACCUUUUAAUUUUGUCGCACUAUAGCUAUUAUAAAUUAAAAAUAAAAUGAAAUUAAAAAUUCUAAUAAAUGGUAAAAUGAUAUGCCUUUUAAACAAAAUUUUAAUAUAUCAUGUCAAUUUUCAGAAUUAUAGAUCAUAUAAUGUGUUUUGAUUUUGUCCAUAUAAGACUAAUAAAUCUCAAAAUAGAUUGUACAUAUUACAAUAGAGUUGGCAAAAUUGCAUAAAUUCUAUUGGUGAUUUGGCCCAAUAAUAAUAAUAAUAAUAAU